This 148-nucleotide small RNA is filed under the name Pongo abelii (Sumatran orangutan). Its description in RNAcentral is "Metazoan signal recognition particle RNA (ENSPPYG00000037592.1)". The record is from Rfam by way of RNAcentral. Lineage: Eukaryota; Metazoa; Chordata; Mammalia; Primates; Hominidae.
GCCGGGCGUGGUGCCGCAUGCCUGUAAUCCCAGCUACUUGGGAGGCUGAGGCAGGAGAAUCACUUGAACCCAGGAGGCAGAGGGUGCAGUGAGCCGAGACUGUGCCACUGCACUCCAGCCUGGGUAACAGAGCGAGACUCCAUCUCAA